This 490-nucleotide ribosomal RNA is filed under the name uncultured bacterium. RNAcentral's name for it is "partial 16S ribosomal RNA". It matches the Rfam family "Bacterial small subunit ribosomal RNA", at positions 30 to 507 of the family's 1533-position model. The record is from RNAcentral.
AUUGAACGCUGGCGGCAGGCCUAACACAUGCAAGUCGAACGGUAACAGGAAGCAGCUUGCUGCUUUGCUGACGAGUGGCGGACGGGUGAGUAAUGUCUGGGAAACUGCCUGAUGGAGGGGGAUAACUACUGGAAACGGUAGCUAAUACCGCAUAACGUCGCAAGACCAAAGAGGGGGACCUUCGGGCCUCUUGCCAUCGGAUGUGCCCAGAUGGGAUUAGCUAGUAGGUGGGGUAACGGCUCACCUAGGCGACGAUCCCUAGCUGGUCUGAGAGGAUGACCAGCCACACUGGAACUGAGACACGGUCCAGACUCCUACGGGAGGCAGCAGUGGGGAAUAUUGCACAAUGGGCGAAAGCCUGAUGCAGCCAUGCCGCGUGUAUGAAGAAGGCCUUCGGGUUUUAAAGUACUUUCAGCGGGGAGGAAGGGAGUAAAGUUAAUACCUUUGCUCAUUGACGUUACCCGCAGAAGAAGCACCGGCUAACUCCGUG